Molecule: long non-coding RNA, 386 nt
Filed under: Bos taurus (domestic cattle)
Lineage: Eukaryota; Metazoa; Chordata; Mammalia; Artiodactyla; Bovidae
Description: long non-coding RNA NONBTAT019635
Source: RNAcentral
CUUGGAUUCCAUAUGUCCCUGAGUUAUUUUUAUCAUAAAGCCACAAAUGUAUUAUAAGGCAAAUUGUAAUAUAUAUAAUCCUAAACUCAUGACCAUGUCUCAGUUUAUUUUUUUCUUGGAGUGAAAAGUACUGAAAUUCAGUGUGACAUUAAAAUGAAAAUUUUCCUAUUUAUUUGAAUAUAAAAAUCACUUACCAGUGAAUCAUAUACUAUUUUAAAAUACUUCUUUGGAUGUUUGUGAUUCUUUACUGGUUGUGAAUUAGAGAAGCUGGGAAUACAUAUGGUGUGCAGUGAAGUCUGAAUUUUCCCGUCCUCCUGUGCAUCCUCCUAAGCAUGGGAUGUCUGGGCCUGGAAAUGUUUUUUUUUAAAAACACCACUUUUAUUAUG